Molecule: transfer RNA, 71 nt
Filed under: Ovis aries (sheep)
Lineage: Eukaryota; Metazoa; Chordata; Mammalia; Artiodactyla; Bovidae
Rfam family: tRNA
About the family: Transfer RNA (tRNA) molecules are approximately 80 nucleotides in length. Their secondary structure includes four short double-helical elements and three loops (D, anti-codon, and T loops). Further hydrogen bonds mediate the characteristic L-shaped molecular structure. tRNAs have two regions of fundamental functional importance: the anti-codon, which is responsible for specific mRNA codon recognition, and the 3' end, to which the tRNAs corresponding amino acid is attached (by aminoacyl-tRNA synthetases). tRNAs cope with the degeneracy of the genetic code in two manners: having more than one tRNA (with a specific anti-codon) for a particular amino acid; and 'wobble' base-pairing, i.e. permitting non-standard base-pairing at the 3rd anti-codon position.
Source: Rfam by way of RNAcentral
UCCUGGUGGCUCAGAUGGUAAAGAAUCUGCCUGCAAUGCAGGAAACCUGGAUUCGAUCCCCAGGUCAGGAA